This 398-nucleotide ribosomal RNA is filed under the name uncultured bacterium. RNAcentral's name for it is "bacterial SSU rRNA". It matches the Rfam family "Bacterial small subunit ribosomal RNA", at positions 358 to 773 of the family's 1533-position model. The record is from RNAcentral.
GGAAUCUUGGACAAUGGGCGCAAGCCUGAUCCAGCCAUGCCGCGUGAAUGAUGAAGGCCUUAGGGUUGUAAAAUUCUUUCGCAGGGGACGAUAAUGACGGUACCCUGAUAAGAAGCUCCGGCUAACUUCGUGCCAGCAGCCGCGGUAAUACGAAGGGGGCUAGCGUUGUUCGGAAUUACUGGGCGUAAAGCGCGUGUAGGCGGACCGUUAAGUCGGGGGUGAAAGCCCAGAGCUCAACUCUGGAAUUGCCUUCGAUACUGGCGGUCUGGACCCAAGUAGAGGCGAGUGGAAUUACGAGUGUAGAGGUGAAAUUCGUAGAUAUUCGUAGGAACACCAGUGGCGAAGGCGACUCGCUGGGCUUGUGGUGACGCUGAGACGCGAAAGCGUGGGGAGCAAAC